CGGGGCGUAGCGCAGUCCGGGUAGCGCACCUGCUUUGGGAGCAGGGGGUCGUGAGUUCAAAUCUCACCGCCCCGACAA
This 78-nucleotide transfer RNA is filed under the name bacterium. Its description in RNAcentral is "tRNA-Pro". It matches the Rfam family "tRNA". From Rfam's summary of the family: Transfer RNA (tRNA) molecules are approximately 80 nucleotides in length. Their secondary structure includes four short double-helical elements and three loops (D, anti-codon, and T loops). The record is from RNAcentral.